This 301-nucleotide ribosomal RNA is filed under the name uncultured bacterium. RNAcentral's name for it is "partial 16S ribosomal RNA". It matches the Rfam family "Bacterial small subunit ribosomal RNA", at positions 509 to 807 of the family's 1533-position model. The record is from RNAcentral.
CAGCAGCCGCGGUAAUACGAAGGGGGCUAGCGUUGUUCGGAACUACUGGGCGUAAAGCACACGUAGGCGGGUAUUUAAGUCAGGGGUGAAAUCCCAGAGCUCAACUCUGGAACUGCCUUUGAUACUGGGUAUCUUGAGUAUGGAAGAGGUGAGUGGAAUUCCGAGUGUAGAGGUGAAAUUCGUAGAUAUUCGCAAGAACACCAGUGGCGAAGGCGGCUUACUGGCUCGAAACUGACGCUGAGGCGCGAAAGCGUGGGGAGCAAACAGGAUUAGAUACCCCGGUAGUCCCUGUCUCUUAUAC